This 543-nucleotide ribosomal RNA is filed under the name uncultured Pedobacter sp. Its description in RNAcentral is "bacterial SSU rRNA". It matches the Rfam family "Bacterial small subunit ribosomal RNA", at positions 132 to 673 of the family's 1533-position model. Lineage: Bacteria; Pseudomonadati; Bacteroidota; Sphingobacteriia; Sphingobacteriales; Sphingobacteriaceae. The record is from RNAcentral.
UAUUCAGGGGGAUAGCCCGAAGAAAUUCGGAUUAACACCGCAUAAAAUCACAGUCCAGCAUUGGAUAAUGAUCAAAUAUUUAUAGGAAUAAGAUGGGCAUGCGUGUCAUUAGCUAGUUGGCGGGGUAACGGCCCACCAAGGCGACGAUGACUAGGGGAUCUGAGAGGAUGACCCCCCACACUGGUACUGAGACACGGACCAGACUCCUACGGGAGGCAGCAGUAAGGAAUAUUGGUCAAUGGAGGCAACUCUGAACCAGCCAUGCCGCGUGCAGGAAGACAGCCCUCUGGGUCGUAAACUGCUUUUAUUCGGGAAUAAACCUUUCUACGUGUAGAGAGCUGAAUGUACCGAAGGAAUAAGGAUCGGCUAACUCCGUGCCAGCAGCCGCGGUAAUACGGAGGAUCCAAGCGUUAUCCGGAUUUAUUGGGUUUAAAGGGUGCGUAGGCGGCUUAUUAAGUCAGGGGUGAAAGACGGUGGCUCAACCAUCGCAGUGCCUUUGAUACUGAUGAGCUUGAAUGAACUAGAGGUAGGCGGAAUGUGACA